AGAGUUUGAUCCUGGCUCAGAACGAACGCUGGCGGCAUGCCUAACACAUGCAAGUCGAACGAAGUCUUCGGACUUAGUGGCGCACGGGUGAGUAACAUGUGGGAAUCUACCUAAAGGUUCGGAACAACUACGGGAAACUGUAGCUAAUACCGGAUGUGUCUGCAAAGAGAAAGAUUUAUCGCCUUUAGAUGAGCCCGCACUAGAUUAGUUUGUUGGUGAGGUAAAAGCUUACCAAGACUAUGAUCUAUAGCUGGUCUGAGAGGAUGAUCAGCCACACUGGGACUGAGAUACGGCCCAGACUCCUACGGGAGGCAGCAGUGGGGAAUAUUGGACAAUGGGGGCAACCCUGAUCCAGCAAUGCCGCGUGAGUGAAGAAGGCCUUCGGGUUGUAAAACUCUUUCAUCAGUGAAGAUAAUGACGGUAACUGAAGAAGAAGCCCCGGCUAACUCCGUGCCAGCAGCCGCGGUAAUACGGAGGGGGCUAGCGUUGUUCGGAAUCACUGGGCGUAAAGCGUGCGUAGGCGGAUCAAAAAGUUAGAUGUGAAAUCCCUAGGCUUAACUUAGGAACUGCAUUUAAAACUAGUGAUCUAGAAUUUGGUAGGGGAUAAUAGAAUUUCCAGUGUAGAGGUGAAAUUCGUAGAUAUUGGAAAGAAUACCAGUGGCGAAGGCGAUUAUCUGGACCAAAAUUGACGCUGAGGUACGAAAGCGUGKGUAGCAAACAGGAUUAGAUACCCUGGUAGUCCACGCAGUAAACGAUGAGUGCUAGUAGUUGGGUCUUUAUGAUUCAGUUUCGUAGCUAACGCAUUAAGCACUCCGCCUGGGAAGUACGGUCGCAAGAUUAAAACUCAAAUGAAUUGACGGGGGCCCGCACAAGCGGUGGAGCAUGUGGUUUAAUUCGAAGCAACGCGAAGAACCUUACCAGUCCUUGACAUGGUGUGUAUGAAUUACAGUACCGUAAUUCUUCAGUUCGGCUGGCACACACACAGGUGCUGCAUGGCUGUCGUCAGCUCGUGUCGUGAGAUGUUGGGUUAAGUCCCGCAACGAGCGCAACCCUCAUUUUUAGUUGCCAUCAGGUCAAGCUGGGCACUCUAGAAAAACUGCCGGUGAUAAGCUGGAGGAAGGCGGGGAUGACGUCAAGUCCUCAUGGCCCUUAUGGGCUGGGCUACACACGUGCUACAAUGGUGGUGACAGUGGGAAGCUAUUUCGCAAGAAUAUGCAAAUCUCCAAAAGCCAUCUCAGUUCGGAUUGGACUCUGCAACUCGAGUCCAUGAAGUUGGAAUCGCUAGUAAUCGUAGAUCAGCGUGCUACGGUGAAUACGUUCUCGGGCCUUGUACACACCGCCCGUCACGCCAUGGAAGUUGGUUUUACCUUAAGCCGGUGCGCUAACCGCAAGGAGGCAGCCGUCCACGGUAGGGUUAAUGACUGGGGCGAAGUCGUAACAAGGUAACC
RNAcentral lists this ribosomal RNA (1448 nucleotides) under uncultured bacterium. RNAcentral describes it as "bacterial SSU rRNA". It matches the Rfam family "Bacterial small subunit ribosomal RNA". The record is from RNAcentral.